UAAAGGUUAGAAGAAAGAAUGGAGUGGGUAUAUUGUGGACAGGAAUUGGAAGAAAAAUGUGGUGGAUGUAUAAUGGAUAGGGGACAAAAUCUUAUCUUUAAACUUAAUGGUUAAUGGUUACACAAGAGACUAUCAAUAUCAUCAGUGUUUAUGCACCACAAGUCCACAAGUAGGAUAAGAAGCACUUUUGAAAUAAAUGUUUUGGG
RNAcentral lists this long non-coding RNA (206 nucleotides) under Glycine max (soybean). RNAcentral describes it as "long non-coding RNA (GMAX_LNC001511)". The record is from RNAcentral. Lineage: Eukaryota; Viridiplantae; Streptophyta; Magnoliopsida; Fabales; Fabaceae.